UACAGAGGGGGCCAGCGUUAUUCGGAAUUAUUGGGCGUAAAGAGCUUGUAGGCGGUUUGUCGCGUCUGCUGUGAAAAUCCGGGGCUCAACCCCGGACUUGCAGUGGGUACGGGCGGACUAGAGUGUGGUAGGGGAGACUGGAAUUCCUGGUGUAGCGGUGGAAUGCGCAGAUAUCAGGAGGAACACCGAUGGCGAAGGCAGGUCUCUGGGCCACUACUGACGCUGAGAAGCGAAAGCAUGGGGAGCGAACAGG
Molecule: ribosomal RNA, 253 nt
Filed under: uncultured bacterium
Lineage: Bacteria
Description: partial 16S ribosomal RNA
Rfam family: Bacterial small subunit ribosomal RNA
Source: RNAcentral